CAAGGGGACACGCGAACACCCCGUGAGGCGACAGCCCAAGUUUCGCAUCCAUGAACCUCUACCAAAGGAAGGAUGCGUUAUG
This 82-nucleotide non-coding RNA is filed under the name uncultured Amylibacter sp. RNAcentral describes it as "chrB-a RNA". It matches the Rfam family "chrB-a RNA". The record is from RNAcentral. Lineage: Bacteria; Pseudomonadati; Pseudomonadota; Alphaproteobacteria; Rhodobacterales; Paracoccaceae.